CCUAUAAGUAUUUGAACUAGGCUACUAUACUAUCGGUAGCACGGAGCGCUCCGUGCUACCAAGUUGUUUUUGAUAAUGCGGCUUUCAAAUCGACGAUCGGUUUCGUUAGACUUGAUCUACACUAUGAAAAGUAUUUAGAAAUUAAAUUUCAUAAUUUUUCGAUAUCAUUUACCUAUCAAACAAGUAGUCUAAAAUUGAACGGCUGAAAAUAAAAAUCUCAUAAAAAAUGAUGAUAAAAGAUUUAAAUUCAAGAUCAAAUAUACUGAUCUUACUCUAAAUAGUGAAAAUAAUUUUUUAUAAAAUUUUCAUCACAUUUGGAUUGUUUUACACCGUUAAACUCACAAACACACUACAUCGGCCAUUAAAAUUAUCAAUUUUGAGAUCUUUUGAUCACUAGUCAAAUGAUAUCGAAAAAAUCUGAAAUUUAGUUUCUAAAUACUUUCAAUAGUGUAGAUCAAGUUUAACAGAGCUGAUCGUCGAUUUGGAAGCCGCAUCAUCGAAAACAACUUGGUAGCACGGAGCGCUCCGUGCUACCGAUAGCAUAGUAGCCGGACUCUAA
This 559-nucleotide long non-coding RNA is filed under the name Ananas comosus (pineapple). RNAcentral describes it as "long non-coding RNA (ACOM_LNC043029)". The record is from RNAcentral. Lineage: Eukaryota; Viridiplantae; Streptophyta; Magnoliopsida; Poales; Bromeliaceae.